Molecule: non-coding RNA, 919 nt
Organism: Rattus norvegicus (Norway rat)
Lineage: Eukaryota; Metazoa; Chordata; Mammalia; Rodentia; Muridae
Source: RefSeq, a predicted model, not a curated record
GCUCUCUUGGAGAGUGACAGGAGAGCACAAAGAACUCCAUGUGUGGGGUUGGGGAUUUAGCUCAGUGGUAGAGCGCUUGCCUAGGAAGCGCAAGGCCCUGGGUUCGGUCCCCAGCUCCGGAAAAAAAAAAAAAAAAAAGAACUCCAUGUGUGUCAUUUAUUGUUAACGUCACCAACUAUACCUAUGGGAGAAAGGAGGAGGCUUAACUUAGCAGGUGCUAAUAAGUGCCCAGGUCUCGGAGAGCCCGUGGACUCCCCAAAGGACAGAGAGGCAGGUCGACCCCACCCCCACAUUCUGCUCUCACUCUGAAAUCAGAUUCUGCUCUUGUUGGCUAGAUAGAGGGACAGCGUGGAAACGGGACGGGACCGCAAACAGCGCACACAUUUCUUCCCUCAGACGCCUUGGGGUCCCCAGAUCCAGCCUGACUUUAUCACAGCUAACUCCAUCGGCAGAGACCGGGUUACGGGUGCCUGCGGAGUUUGGGAGGACACUGCAGCCCUGAGCCUCCCUUGCCGUGGGACUGGCUCUGUUUGGGUGAAGCCUCCUUUUCCCCACGCUUGCUCCCCCGCCCCCUGGCACAUCUGUGGGUUCUGCAAGGCAUCUCUGACACCAGCCGUCGUGAACGCUCUGUUCCUCACCAAGGGAAAGGCGGCGCCCAGCCAGCCCUUUCGGGCUGCUGUCACGCGGCUCGAACUGCAUGCGCACGUGGCAAUUUGUUACCAGACACUGCCUUGGAGCCCCGGCUCUUCCUAUUUUAAAUUUCCUUCCAGGAAAACAACAUUGACAAAACAUUCCAGUCAGGCAUUUAACUUGUUACGGCACUAAGAUUGCCUCAGAAAGACUUUCAGUUUGGGCUAUCAGCCUCACCCCUCCCUUCUGAAGGGAAAAGAAAAUAAACCAGGCAGACAUGUUGCAGCUG